AGAAUCAACGCUGGCGGCGUGCCUAACACAUGCAAGUCGCACGAGAAAGGGGAGCAAUCCCUAAGUAAAGUGGCGCACGGGUGAGUAACACGUGAAUCAUCUACCUCCGAGUGGGGAAUAACCUAGAGAAAUCUGGGCUAAUACCGCAUAACACUUACGAGUCAAAGCAGCAAUGCGCUUGGAGAGGAGUUCGCGGCCGAUUAGCUAGUUGGCGGGGUAAUGGCCCACCAAGGCGAUGAUCGGUAUCCGGCCUGAGAGGGCGCACGGACACACUGGAACUGAAACACGGCCCAGACUCCUACGGGAGGCAGCAGUGGGGAAUUUUGCGCAAUGGGGGAAACCCUGACGCAGCAACGCCGCGUGGAGGAUGAAGUAUCUUGGUACGUAAACUCCUUUCGAUGGGGAAGAUAAUGACGGUACCCAUAGAAGAAGCCCGGCUAACUUCGCGCCAGCAGCCGC
Molecule: ribosomal RNA, 459 nt
Filed under: uncultured bacterium
Lineage: Bacteria
Description: SSU rRNA
Rfam family: Bacterial small subunit ribosomal RNA
Source: RNAcentral